AUAAAGGGUCUGGUGCAGAGGGUGGCACAAGGCGGUGAUAAGCUUGAGUGUGGAGUGGCGGGAGCUCGCAGUCAUCCUGAGACAGUGGUUCUGAGCAGACGUCUGUUCCUUGGCUUGUAAUACACACACUCCCUCAACAUGGCGGACCAACUGACCGAGGAGCAGAUUGCCGAGUUCAAGGAGGCUUUCUCCUUGUUCGAUAAGGACGGUGACGGUACCAUCACCACCAAGGAAUUGGGCACCGUGAUGCGUUCCCUGGGCCAGAACCCCACCGAGGCGGAGCUCCAGGACAUGAUAAACGAGGUGGACGCCGACGGUAACGGAACUAUCGAUUUCCCCGAGUUCCUCACGAUGAUGGCGCGCAAAAUGAAAGACACUGAUUCUGAGGAAGAGAUCAGGGAAGCCUUCCGAGUGUUUGAUAAGGACGGCAACGGCUUCAUCUCUGCGGCUGAGCUUAGGCAUGUGAUGACCAACCUGGGAGAGAAACUUACUGAUGAAGAGGUUGAUGAAAUGAUCAGGGAAGCUGAUAUUGACGGUGAUGGUCAGGUCAACUAUGAAGAAUUUGUGAGAAUGAUGACCUCACGUUAGUGCCUCGGCGUCUGAACUCCCUUCGCCCGUGACUCACCUUCUUAACAUUAGUCUCACCUAGUUCGUCACAAUGAUGACAUCAAAGUGAAGUGAUCGCGCCCACUAAUAUUGUAAACAAAUUUCAAACGAACAGUUUUUUCUGCUUUCCAAUUUAUCUUGUUAAAGGAACUGCUAAAACCCAUUAUAAUAUUAAUAAUAAACGUCACGAUACUGUC
This 803-nucleotide unclassified non-coding RNA is filed under the name Portunus trituberculatus (swimming crab). RNAcentral's name for it is "calmodulin, transcript variant X1". The record is from RNAcentral. Lineage: Eukaryota; Metazoa; Arthropoda; Malacostraca; Decapoda; Portunidae.